Molecule: small RNA, 29 nt
Filed under: Bombyx mori (domestic silkworm)
Lineage: Eukaryota; Metazoa; Arthropoda; Insecta; Lepidoptera; Bombycidae
Description: ovarian small RNA-27639
Source: RNAcentral
UCCGUGUUGAGAUUAGCUUACAAGGGCCA